CGCAUCUGUGCAUGCAGCAUAUCAAUAAGCGGAGGAAAAGAAACUAACAAGGAUUCCCCUAGUAACGGCGAGUGAAGCGGGAAGAGCUCAAAUUUGAAAUCUUAAAGGGUUUCCCUUUACGAAUUGUAGUUUAAAGAAGUGUUUUCUGUUGAGGUUUUGGUAAAAGUUCUUUGGAAUAGGACAUCAUAGAGGGUGAGAAUCCCGUAUUUGACCUUUACUUUCAACUUUGUGAUACACUUUCAAAAAGUCGGAUUGUUUGGGAAUGCAGUCCAAAAUGGGUGGUAAAUUUCAUCUAAAGCUAAAUAUUGGCGAGAGACCGAUAGCGAACAAGUACCGUGAGGGAAAGAUGAAAAGAACUUUGAAAAGAGAGUUAAACAGUACGUGAAAUUGUCAAAAGGGAAGCGUUUGACACCAGUGUUGUUUUUCUGAAAAUCAAUUAAAGAACUGUUUAUGCUAAGCUGUUUAGACAUUAUCAGCUAACUGUUUAGUUUUGAGCUUUUCUUUAAUGCACUUUUCAGUUAACAAGUCAACAUCAAUUUCUUUUGCUGUAAAAAAGCUUGAGGAAGGUGGCUUGAGAUUCGUCUUAAGUGUUUAUAGCCUCUUGCCUAUGCAGUCGGAGAGAUUGAGGUCUGCAGCGUAGAUCCUUCGGGGCUAAAUGCAUUUGUGCUAAGUUAUAGCUAUUUUAUAGACAACUUGUUGACUAUGAUUUGUCUUGUAGCUUACUCGCUUAUGUUAUUUUACCUACGCUUAGGAUGUUGAACGCGCACAGAGUCUC
This 775-nucleotide ribosomal RNA is filed under the name uncultured Neocallimastigales. RNAcentral describes it as "partial large subunit ribosomal RNA". It matches the Rfam family "Eukaryotic large subunit ribosomal RNA", at positions 26 to 641 of the family's 3401-position model. The record is from RNAcentral. Lineage: Eukaryota; Fungi; Neocallimastigomycota; Neocallimastigomycetes; Neocallimastigales.